This 254-nucleotide ribosomal RNA is filed under the name uncultured bacterium. RNAcentral describes it as "partial 16S ribosomal RNA". It matches the Rfam family "Bacterial small subunit ribosomal RNA", at positions 524 to 776 of the family's 1533-position model. The record is from RNAcentral.
UACGUAGGGGCCUAGCGUUGUCCGGAAUUAUUGGGCGUAAAGAGCUCGUAGGCGGUUCGGCAAGUCGGAUGUGAAAUCUCCACGCUUAACGUGGAGGGGCCAUUCGAAACUGCCGUGACUCGAGUCCGGUAGGGGAGUGUGGAAUUCCCGGUGUAGCGGUGAAAUGCAUUGAGAUCGGAAAGAACACCAACGGCGAAAGCACUCUGCUGGGCCGACACUGACACUGAGAGACGAAAGCUAGGGGAGCAAAUGGG